UGUAAACUUUGGGAGUAACUAGUAAUAGUUUGAGAAAUAUCCUUAGAACCUGAUUUGGUUGAUACCAACGUAGGGAAAAUUUACAGGCAUCUU
RNAcentral lists this non-coding RNA (93 nucleotides) under Arenibacter nanhaiticus. Its description in RNAcentral is "TPP sequence". It matches the Rfam family "TPP riboswitch aptamer (THI element)". From Rfam's summary of the family: Vitamin B(1) in its active form thiamin pyrophosphate (TPP) is an essential coenzyme that is synthesised by coupling of pyrimidine and thiazole moieties in bacteria. The previously detected thiamin-regulatory element, thi box was extended, resulting in a new, highly conserved RNA secondary structure, the THI element, which is widely distributed in eubacteria and also occurs in some archaea. Analysis of operon structures identified a large number of new candidate thiamin-regulated genes, mostly transporters, in various prokaryotic organisms. Lineage: Bacteria; Pseudomonadati; Bacteroidota; Flavobacteriia; Flavobacteriales; Flavobacteriaceae. The record is from Rfam by way of RNAcentral.